RNAcentral lists this ribosomal RNA (497 nucleotides) under uncultured bacterium. Its description in RNAcentral is "partial 16S ribosomal RNA". It matches the Rfam family "Bacterial small subunit ribosomal RNA", at positions 28 to 507 of the family's 1533-position model. The record is from RNAcentral.
GAUGAACGCUGGCGGCGUGCCUAAUACAUGCAAGUCGAGCGAACGGACGAGAAGCUUGCUUUUCUGAUGUUAGCAGCGGACGGGUGAGUAACACGUGGAUAACCUACCUAUAAGACUGGGAUAACUUCGGGAAACCGGAGCUAAUAUCGGAUAAUAUUUUGAACCGCAUGGUUCAAAAGUGAAAGACGGUCUUGCUGUCACUUAUAGAUGGAUCCGCGCUGCAUUAGCUAGUUGGUAAGGUAACGGCUUACCAAGGCAACGAUGCAUAGCCGACCUGAGAGGGUGAUCGGCCACACUGGAACUGAGACACGGUCCAGACUCCUACGGGAGGCAGCAGUAGGGAAUCUUCCGCAAUGGGCGAAAGCCUGACGGAGCAACGCCGCGUGAGUGAUGAAGGUCUUCGGAUCGUAAAACUCUGUUAUUAGGGAAGAACAUAUGUGUAAGUAACUGUGCACAUCUUGACGGUACCUAAUCAGAAAGCCACGGCUAACUACGUG